This 2187-nucleotide long non-coding RNA is filed under the name Daucus carota (carrot). RNAcentral describes it as "long non-coding RNA (DCAR_LNC007628)". The record is from RNAcentral. Lineage: Eukaryota; Viridiplantae; Streptophyta; Magnoliopsida; Apiales; Apiaceae.
GGAUUUCAAAACCUAGUGCCCUAAGACCGUUUGGUUUGGGAGUCACUGACCUAAAGCUCGCUACAUGGGUAACAUUGUUUGCCUAAGAAAACGGACAAAAGAAAGUCAAUGCAAAAAAAAAAAACAAGAAAAAAAAGAAAAAGAAAAAGAGAAGAAUAAGAGUUUGUGAAGUUUGGCUAGAUAUUUGUUUCGAUAGAGAUUGGGUCAGUUCAAAAUUGGUUGAAAAAGAGAAAAUGUUCUUAGACAAUUAGGAUCCAUCAAAGGCCUUAAAACACUUACACUCCUUGGAUUUCUAGUAAAUCUUUGUGUCGAUGCAAGUAGAUUAGAGACAACUGUAUCUUGAUUAGAGUAGAGUCGAGUAGACACUUGCUAGAAUGUCUCGAAGAUUUUAUGGGUAUAUCUUCUGUAAACCCUUAGGAGACAAAACUCCUCUUGUAGAGAUCGUCUACGAGUUUAACGGGUUGGUGAACCUAAAAUCACCCGUCACGCCUACGAAAAGGAGCCUAGGAAUCGCAUCUAGUUUUCUUAGUUUAUUUUCUUUUCUUUUGAUUUUUACUCGAGGACGAGCAAAAUUUAGGUAUGGGGACGUUUGAUAGGUCCAUUAUUUUGCACAUUUUAACUACCGAUUUAUUGCUUGUUUUCGUAUUUUAUUAGUUAAUUGUUUUGUUUUCAGGAAUUUUUAGAGAAAUCAAGAAUUCAAGAGAAAAAGGAACAAAAAGGUGCAAGAAGGGAAAAAGAGGAAGAAAAAGAAAAGAAAAAGAAGAAGAAGAAAAAAAGGGAAAAGAAAAUCAGAACACAAGGACCCUUCUACCCCUAAAACCCUAAUCUUGGCCUAUAUAAACAUCCUCUUCUCUCAUUAGCCACCAACUUAGUCUACCAUAGUUUACCCUAGUUUUACCUAGUUGUUAGUAGCCUCCUUCAUCACUUUCUAGCUUUCUUUUUCAAAUUGUAAUCUCUCAAAUAUUGUAUACACUUUCUUGUUUAAUAUAAUUUCAAGUUUAGUUUCAUCAUCUCCUACAUCUUUAGCUUGUUGAAAUUUAUGGCUAUGACCAACUUUGCCUUCAACAAGUGGAUAAAAUGGCAUUUAUGCCAACCACUUGUGGGUUAAAGGAGCCUUUAUUAUAUAUGUUAAACUUACCUUUUUAGUAUUUAGCUUGAGCCCCUUUUAAUUCUCAAUAUUAUUAGUGGGUUCAAUGAUUUAGUUGAUAUUUUGGUUUGUAGUUUGAUGGGGUUUUGUUAGAGACAUGGUAGAUAAGCUAGUUUUGAAGUUUUGUUGGAUUUAGAGUUAGUUUGAUAUGAUUUGGUAGUGUUCUUGUUCUUGGUUUUGGUAUUUUUGAGGGCUUUUUGGUGUAAAUUUUAGUUUAUGAUUUUGACUUGAGGUUAGUGGGUUUGUGUUUGAAAUAUUAUGUUUAGGUUAGAUUUAAAGUUUGGUGUAUUUUGGAGUUGUUUUGGCUUGAUUUUGGUCUUGUUUUGGUGAGAAAUGGGUAGUUUAGGAGCUAUUUAGUGUAGAAUUUAUUGUUGAAUUUGAUUUAGAGGUUAGUGGGGUUUGAUUUGUUAUAUUUGGAAUGGCUAGAUUAUCCGGUUAAAUUAAUUUUCCGGUGAGAUUUAGGCUAUUCCGGUGGCUACCAUUCUUUCCGGCAUUGCUUUGCUAUCUCGCAUUUGUGUCUGUCCUCUGUUUCCAACGCGCUGCUAUUUUCAUUUUAUUAUUAUUUUUUAUAUAUAUGUAAUACUGAAUGAACGUGACCACCAUCUGCCGUUUCAUUGUUUUGGUUUUUGCCGCGGCAGGUUCACGUACGAACUGACGUAGUAGUUUUUCUUUUCUUUUUUUUUAUUAAUCUCGUUAGCUUGUUUUUCUUGUUUAUUGAAAAAAAAUUAAGUUAAUUAGUUUCUUACUUUUAUUUUGUCAUUUAGCUUAUUUAAAAAAUUCUCAAAAUCUUUUGGUCUAAUUUGAUUAAGUUAAAAAUUAAGUUUUCGCGAAAAUAAAUUUAGUCCUUGGAACGAAUCUUAUAUUACUAAAACGGGAUCGUGCACUUGCGAGUGAAAUCAUAUUUUUGAGCACAUCAACAUGACGAUCGCCAUUGAUGGUUCGAAUCAUUGACACCUGGCCAGGAUUCUCGACAACACCAAUCACAUUUGUAGCCAAACAAUACCAUAAAUGUAUCAUACAAUGAGAAAAGAAUAGCUUGG